CCCGCACAAGCGGUGGAGCAUGUGGUUUAAUUCGAUGCAACGCGAAGAACCUUACCUACUCUUGACAUCCACGGAACUUAGCAGAGAUGCUUUGGUGCCUUCGGGAACCGUGAGACAGGUGCUGCAUGGCUGUCGUCAGCUCGUGUUGUGAAAUGUUGGGUUAAGUCCCGCAACGAGCGCAACCCUUAUCCUUUGUUGCCAGCGGUCCGGCCGGGAACUCAAAGGAGACUGCCAGUGAUAAACUGGAGGAAGGUGGGGAUGACGUCAAGUCAUCAUGGCCCUUACGAGUAGGGCUACACACGUGCUACAAUGGCGCAUACAAAGAGAAGCGAACUCGCGAGAGCAAG
This 347-nucleotide ribosomal RNA is filed under the name Enterobacter sp. RNAcentral describes it as "bacterial SSU rRNA". It matches the Rfam family "Bacterial small subunit ribosomal RNA", at positions 920 to 1267 of the family's 1533-position model. Lineage: Bacteria; Pseudomonadati; Pseudomonadota; Gammaproteobacteria; Enterobacterales; Enterobacteriaceae. The record is from RNAcentral.